RNAcentral lists this ribosomal RNA (889 nucleotides) under uncultured bacterium. RNAcentral describes it as "bacterial SSU rRNA". It matches the Rfam family "Bacterial small subunit ribosomal RNA", at positions 11 to 891 of the family's 1533-position model. The record is from RNAcentral.
GUUUGAUCCUGGCUCAGGAUGAAGUUAGCUACAGGCUUAACACAUGCAAGUCGAGGGGAAACGACAUCGAAAGCUUGCUUUUGAUGGGCGUCGACCGGCGCACGGGUGAGUAACGCGUAUCCAACCUGUCCACCACUUGGGGAUAACCUUGCGAAAGUAAGACUAAUACCCAAUGACGUCUCUAGAAGACAUCUGAAAGAGAUUAAAGAUUUAUCGGUGAUGGAUGGGGAUGCGUCUGAUUAGCUUGUUGGCGGGGUAACGGCCCACCAAGGCGACGAUCAGUAGGGGUUCUGAGAGGAAGGUCCCCCACAUUGGAACUGAGACACGGUCCAAACUCCUACGGGAGGCAGCAGUGAGGAAUAUUGGUCAAUGGACGAGAGUCUGAACCAGCCAAGUAGCGUGCAGGAUGACGGCCCUAUGGGUUGUAAACUGCUUUUAUAAGGGAAUAAAGUGAGUCUCGUGAGACUUUUUGCAUGUACCUUAUGAAUAAGGACCGGCUAAUUCCGUGCCAGCAGCCGCGGUAAUACGGAAGGUCCGGGCGUUAUCCGGAUUUAUUGGGUUUAAAGGGAGCGUAGGCCGGGGAUUAAGCGUGUUGUGAAAUGUAGACGCUCAACGUCUGCACUGCAGCGCGAACUGGUUUCCUUGAGUACGCACAAAGUGGGCGGAAUUCGUGGUGUAGCGGUGAAAUGCUUAGAUAUCACGAAGAACUCCGAUUGCGAAGGCAGCUCACUGGAGCGCAACUGACGCUGAAGCUCGAAAGUGCGGGUAUCGAACAGGAUUAGAUACCCUGGUAGUCCGCACGGUAAACGAUGGAUGCCCGCUGUUGGUCUGAAUAGGUCAGCGGCCAAGCGAAAGCAUUAAGCAUCCCACCUGGGGAGUACGCCGGCAA